Molecule: ribosomal RNA, 254 nt
Filed under: uncultured bacterium
Lineage: Bacteria
Description: partial 16S ribosomal RNA
Rfam family: Bacterial small subunit ribosomal RNA
Source: RNAcentral
UACAGAGGGUGCGAACGUUGUUCGGAAUUACUGGGCAUAAAGCGUGCGUAGGCGGCGGCGUAAGUGUAGGGUGAAAUCCCACGGCCCACCCGUGUGAACAGCCCCGCAUACUGCGUUGCUUGAGUGUGGUAGGGGAGAGCGGAACUCCUGGUGGAGCGGUGAAAUGCGUAGAUAUCAGGAGGAACACCGGUGGCGCAGGCGGCUCUCUGGUCCACAACUGACGCUGAAGUACGAAAGCUAGGGUAGCGAACGGG